AAAAAUAAAAAAUCAUAACAUUUUUUUUUGUUUUAUCAUUAAGUAACACUUAUAUAAAAUCUAAAUUAGAAAUCUAAAUACCAAAAAUUGAAUAUUAAAAGUGAAAAAAGAGAAAAAGAAAAAGAAAAAAAGGAAUAGAUUUUAUUUAGAAAAUUUAGAAAUUAACCCCAAAACUACCAGCCCUAGUUCGUCCUCCCUCCCUGUCUCCUCCCUGUCUCUCGACUCUCUCUCUCUCCUCCCUCUCGACUCCGUCGCCGGCGCCGCUGCCCCACGCCGGCCCGUCGCCGCCCACCCUCGCUGCUGCCCCGCGCCCUAGUUCUUCUCUGUUCGAUUGGUCGAGCCCUAGUUCUUCUCUGUUCGGUACAACCCAGCCGUCGCCAUCUCAGGGAGACCGGCGAGCUACGCGACCUAGAGCCCGCCCAUCGUUGCUGGUGGUCCGAGGAUCGGCGAGCCGAUGGUGUUCUACGGCCGGUUCUCUUCUCAACUCCACAUAAUCGAGGCAGGAGAGGGGGAAAGCCCUAAUUCUCCGAUUUGCAAUCGAGAGCGGAUGAGUUUGAUAAUUGGGCGUUGAACAAGAGUUUUGCCCCUUCUCCCUCUCUCUACCUCCUCUCUGUGCCGC
Molecule: long non-coding RNA, 619 nt
Filed under: Salvia miltiorrhiza (redroot sage)
Lineage: Eukaryota; Viridiplantae; Streptophyta; Magnoliopsida; Lamiales; Lamiaceae
Description: long non-coding RNA (SMIL_LNC002010)
Source: RNAcentral